UACGUCUGUUUGAGAAGUGCUGCUGGUGUCUGGCUGUAGCAGUAGAAGUGGUGUUUGGUGGCACCAUGCUGGUGGUGGUAGUUCUCUGACACUAAGUCAGGGUUUGCUGUGGUAAUUGGCCCUGUGGCUUGCAGAGUCCUGUGUUGGACUCAGGGUGAGAACCUGUGAGUAUGGCUGAGACAGUUGUUUGCAUUCACAGCCAGUCCUGUCUGUACAUGUCCCCCACCCUUUCCUGGUGCUGUCAUCUCCCUUGUACAAAACCAUCCUCCUGUUUUGCAGUUUCCUGCUUCCCUGUUGGCAUCUGUUUUUAGCUCUGCCACUUCUGUAUCACUGUCCUCUGAUUGUAAUUGCUGCAGGCAAAGAGGCAAGGAUAGGGGAGAUUAAUAAAUUGUCAGGAAAGAAAAACCAAAACAACCGAGAAUGUUCUUGGGGAAGGUUCAGGCAGAAGUUUGGAAAUACAGAGAGAGGAGGAUGUAAAUAUUUCUGGGACUCAAGGAGCAGAGUGAUGGAGUAAAGGAUUUGGGGGCUUGCUACUAAUCUGUCAGGAAAUGUUAUGACAUUGUGGUGGCAGCAGGAGCAGAAGGAAGCAGCUGGAGCUGUGGACUCCUGCCCUCGGAGUGCUCUGUGUGCUCACGGCUGUCUGGUGAGGGGCAGAGACGAAAGGUCGGCGGAGCAGAGCCCUGGUGGAUCCAUGCCCAGCACAAUUGCUCCUGGCUUGUUCCCCAUGGCAUUUAGCUAAAUGUUUGGGGCUUAGUUUGCUUUUUGGUUUUGGGGAGAUGGUUUUAUUUUGGGGUUUGUUUUUUUUUUAAAGAAAAACAAAAGUGCUGCAGCUGAGGUCACUAUUUUUGGUGUCCAACAUGUGAUUUCACUAUUUCUUAAAUAUGUUUCUGACAGCAUAAAUGUUGUGGAACUAAGCUGUUUUCUGCUUCAGAUGUCUGAGCUUUACAGAGUGUUUUGGUAUCCUGUUUCUUCACCCACUCCUAAAACAGAAGAUUAAAUAGAGCAAGAUGCAUCUGAAACCCUUUAUUUCCUCUUGUUUUUCCUGCCCUACUCUACCUUUUGUCAGGGGGUUAAAAGAGUAAAGCCAAUAGGAUCCUGAAUUUCCUGGCACAGGAGCACCACAUUAGCACUGUUUGAGCCAUGCGGGGGCUGAAAGCUCUUUAAUGGUGUUAAUUUGGGCACAGAGAUGUCUGCAUACGGGAGGUGACACUUUUCCCUGAGUCCAUCUGCCAGGCAGCCGUAAUUGUGCCUCACUGCUCCUGGAGGUUCUCAUAAAGACAAAUUGCAAGAUCUUUCAUUUUAGAAAUUCAUAAUUUGCUUCCUGAGGAAUCGAAAUACCAUAUUUCUAUUUUCCCUACUCAAACUAGACUCUUGUCGAUCACAGAAGUUUUAUUUAGCACUGGAAUUCUUGUAGGCAGCAAAUGUUUUCAUGCUUCCUUCAGAAUCCUGCAGUUAUUUACUUCUCGAGAUAUUGAGCAAUUUCAGUUAAAAUAAGUGAGAGCAACAGCUAUUAAGUGCCUCCAAAAAUUGGACUCCUCCUGCUAGAAUGGCUAUGUUUGGCAGUUAUCAUCAAUGUAUUUGUCCAGUAUCUCUUCAAAGUCUUUCUUUUCAGUCUUUUUUUUUUCCUAGACACGUCUGUCUGCAUUGCAGGUGAAACAGGCAGGCUGAGCUUUUACAUUAGUAUGAGAUUCCUGCAUUACCAGCCUAAUUCCUCAAUUACCAGCCUGAUUACCUGUAGUUUUUGUUGUUGUUGUAAUUAGAACUGUUGAUUAGAUGUAUUAUUUGUGAAAGACAAGUUGAUGAGUAGCAGUGUGUUCAUGUUUCUGUUCUGUCACAAGGCUUCUGGUUAGGAUUAAUCUCCUUUGCCUUUUUUUUUUCUUCUCCUGGGGAUGUAUCACUCAACAGGAGCAACCUCCCCAAAGGGCUGCUGAAAGAGGUGGCCAGCUGCCUAAUUCCUGCCAUCACACUUCCCCAUUUCCCCCCCAGCACUGUUUAAUCUCUGUUAGAUGCGUGUUCGCUGGCACCUGCACAGUGACUUCACUGAAAUAGCUGCCCUCCACAAGGCUUUCAUUAAGCAGCUGAGGGAUGAAUAAGCUUUUUCAUAAUUUAUAAAAAUUAGCCAUGCUUUAGUCUGUGUCAGCCUGACAACAAAAGGAGAUUGUCCAAGGGCUUGUAGUUUUAGUCAGUGCUUGUAUUGCCUUCAGAAGAAAUGUAUAUACAGGUGAGCUAAUAAAUCCCAAUUCCCACAGCUAUCAAGUGGAUUUAGGUGUUUGGACUGAGGUUUCUUAGGACAGCAAUCAAGGGGUGAUAUGUCCUUGUAGAGCAAAAACCUUAAACAGUUUUUCUGCCCUCCUGUGCCAAGCAGCCAGGAGAGGUGAGAUGCAUAGGAGUGUUUUGUCUCCAGUGGUUGCAGAGAGGGGACAGAAGAGUUACACAUUUUAGAUGACUGAAGUUGCAUGGGUGGGAGGUGCCAUCCAAGUUCAUUUGGAGUUGCAAUUGAUCUGUGGGAAAGGAUGGGGGAUGAUUUGUUCCCCUCUGCCUCCCUCCCCUAUUGCCUGUAACUCCACAUGUACUUUGUGCUUAACUGCUUUUAUUAAAUAUGCAUGUAUGGGGGAGGGGGUAAUUUCUUACAUCAGAAAAUCAAUUUUCUGGAGCCUGUAAGGCCAUAGAUGGCCUUAAAAGGAGGAACCAACUUCAGGAGUACUAUAACUUGUUUGUACUUAAACUUCAGUUCUUUGACAUUGUUCCCUGGUUCCAGUCUUGGGACUGCUGCAGGGAGAUGUGCAGCCAGAAGUGGAUGGCAGUUCCAUGCUUGUCUGACACAGCAGCACUCGCUCACUGACCUGCAUGGGUCCCUCCAGCUCCCCUGCCACGUUCCUUCUCCUGUCUCCUUCACUGACCGCUUGGUUUCCUUCUCCCUUCUCAUCCUGCUAACUUGCUUUUCCUUUGCCACCUGCUGUCUUGCAGUCCUCUUCUUUGCUAGCUGCUCGACAGAGCUCCUCCGAUGUCCCAACUGCUGCGGAUCUUGUCAGUGCAAUAGAAAAGUUGGUCAAAACUAAGCUGGUAAGUUUAGUGUUGUGAAAACUGUGUACACAACAGGCCCGAUGUGACUCUAAGGAAGGGCUUUAAAGGCUACCUCUUGUUCUGGUUUCCUUGCUUUCUACCUUCAUCUGCUCUGCUUUUAUUAACCCUGUGUGCUCUGCUUCUCAGUAGUGUCCUAUAUUUUAUUCCCCUGUGAGAUGAAGCCUACAUCUCACGUAGGCUCUGUGCUGCAUAGUCAAAGUCACUUCUGGAGUGGGCUUUGCAGAGCAUGAGCUUCUGUACUAUACAAUUUCUGGGGUCUUGUUAGUAUCCAAAUACUUUACACAGGGGGAUGUUUUGUUUGUUUUGUUUCAAAGCUUGUUCUGAGGCACAGGAGUUUUACUACCCAACGUGGAUUUGUUUGGUGUUCUGGUUUCGAUGAAAAGACUCUAAAGAGUAGAACUGCUUGAAGUACCACAGCUGUGCUUUAAUUUUACAAAGAUUCAUGUGUCACUUUUAAUCUGCCUUGUCAACUCUUUCUUGCAGGGAGUGGAAUAAGUAAUAAAAAUGCUCUGGGAUUAAUUUGUUCAAAAAUU
Molecule: non-coding RNA, 3617 nt
Organism: Sturnus vulgaris (Common starling)
Lineage: Eukaryota; Metazoa; Chordata; Aves; Passeriformes; Sturnidae
Source: RefSeq, a predicted model, not a curated record